AAGCCAGGACCCAUGGAGUCUGAUCUACAACACAAGCAGUAGCAGUUCCACAUCUCCCUACCACCUCUUAUUUCCUACGAAGUCUUUCUGCCUGAAACUGGAAAACCCGAACUAUUAUUGAGGAAGUGAAGCCCUUCCAUUUGAAUCCUGAGAAAGACGCGCUCAAAGAACCCAGCGAACAAAGGAGAGGGUUGGAGCCCACGCAAAACAUGGGUGUGAUAAAGCCACACGCGACCUGAGCCCCCACCCUCAGUAACUACUCUCCAGCGCCCACCGGGAGGAGGGGUCCGGGGAAAGGAUUGGCAUCCUCUGCUUCUGCAGAAAACAUGGCUACCAACAGCUUCUGUAUCCACCUGCGGAGGAGACUGACUGCUCUGUUAUUCCCCCAGCAUCUGUGAAGAGGCUCUGACUGGCUAAAGUGUUGGUAUAGUGAUCACCCCAGGGUUAGGCAACCAUGGCUGGUGAAAAGGAAAAACGUUAUGAACCUGGCUGUGCGGAGCUACCUGAGGAAGCUUGUAGGAGAAGGGUCAGUUUGCAGAGAAAGGGGGGCCUGGGCAGAUGACGCAAGAGGUGCCCAUUACAUCCCUCUAGAGGAAGGAGUCUGUAGCUUUAGGGGAAGACAGAGCCACAAGAUGGAAGGAGCUUGGAUGUCUGAACUAUUCCAUGGAGAAAAGCUGCAGCCAACGAAGAACACCUGCAAUGGACUCUUAACCUGGGGGUGACGACAACCACUGAAAUAUGCUGCAUCUUAGUCCAGGGAUUUUUAAAGUGUGGUUCCUGGAAGAGCUGGAUCAGAGUCAUCUGUGUUGAUGGUUUAACAUAAAGAUUUUCGAGCCCCAAGACUCAAGUAGGACAAGGAAUUUGAAUUUUUAAGCAGCUCACCUGACUUGUCUGUCCUCUAAUGUCUGAAGACAUCUGACCUCUGCUCUUUCAGUAAAAGCAACAAUGGUUUUAUGAGCAUUGUCGUCACAUCUCUCCACUCAAGGGAUCCUUCUCAUUUCUCCCAGCUGAGGUCACCCACAGCUGCUGCUUCUAACUGCUGGCUUCCAGCCUGCUGUCUGCCAGCUGGCUCUACCCUCUCCUAUAACACGGCAGAGAGUAGCUGUGGUCUCCUGCGUGCUCACCCUCUGCUCCCUUGGUCCUGCUCCAUGCUUUGGUCCUGCACUUAAAUUUUACAAGCAUACUCUCUUUCUCUUAAGAAUGAUUUUCAAUGCCAUUUAGAGGAAAUCUUGGGAUCAACUUGGGAAAAGACGGAGGCUCCUGGCUCUGAUCUUUGGGGACUUCAGAUUUUCUGGAUCAAGGUGAGAUACUACAAAUUUGUAAGAAGAAAAGAAAUGUUUUCUCUUUUCAGCAUAAAAGCCAUAAUGUUAAGGAUAUUAAAAAAUAUCAUGUAAUGUGCACUUUGCAUAAACUUAUCUGAAAUUUAGCAUGAAAAUUGUUUUUUACUCUGAGCUACAGGGAAGGUGUCCCAGAAGAAAUGAGGCUUGCUCACUCCAUGUUUCCAUCACCAGGGGAUUGUGUCCUGCAGGGUCACUCUGCCUGCAUUCACUAGGCCUGUUCAGUCUUAGGGAUUUGCAAAGGUUCUCCUAUCCUUCAGGACUUCUGUUUGGAUUGUUCGGAAAUGUCCUUUGUGAUUGAUGGCUCUUGCCUCAUCACCCAUUCAUGAUGAAGGGGAAUAAGCUGAUUAAACACGACAUUUUGUGAGCCCUCCAUUUCCUCUUGCUUCUUGUAUUAGUUUUCUAUGGCUACUGUAAUAAAUCAACACAAAUUUAGUGGCUUAGAACAACAUGAACUUGUUAUCUUGCAUUUCUGUAGGUUUAGAAAUCCAACACAGGUCUCACCAGGCUGAAAUCAAGUUGUUAGCAGGGCUACGUUCCCUUCUGGAGGCCCUGGGGGAAAGCUGUCCCCUUGCCUUUUCCAGCUUCUAAAGGCUGCACACAUUCCUUGGCUUCUAGCCCCUUCUUUACAUCAUCAAAGCCAGCAUUGUUGCAUCUCCCUGAAGGUCCUUGAAGUGUAAACCCAUUCUUCAGUUCUUAUCAUUCCACUAACUGCCCCUUACUGCCUCACUUUUCUACCUUUAAGGACCCUUAUGAUUACAUCAGGACCACCCAGAUAAUCCUUGAUACUCUCCUCAUCUCAAGGCCCUUAACUUCAUCAUAUCUGCAAAGUCCCUCUUGCAAUGUAAGCUAACAUAGUCACAUGUUCCCGAGAUUAGGAUGUAGGUAUCUUUGAGGGAGGGCAUUAUUCUACCUACCACUCUUCUUAUUAAGAUUAUGUAUUUCUUUAAAAAUUAAGAAACAUAAAGUUUAUUGCUAUAUUAUAAUUUUCAUCAUGAUAAAGUCAAGGUUGAAGUGCAAUAGAUUAUUUGUAAAAAUGGUCACAAUAAUUUCCUGUCUUAUUGGGCAUGGCAGCUCAUGCUGAGGUUGGGGGAAGGAUUGCUUGAAGUAAGGAAUUCAAGACCAGCCUAGGCAACUAAGAGAGAUUCCAUCUCUUCAAUUUUUUUUUUUUUUUUUUUUCUGAGACAGGAUCUUAAUCUGUUGCCCAGGCUGGAGUGCAGAGGCAUGAGCUUGGCCUUCUGCAACCUCUGCCUCCUAGUCUCAGGUGAUCCUCCCACCUCAGCCUCCUGAGUAGCUACAGGUACAUGCCACCACACCUGGCUAAUUUUUUAAAAAUUCUUUUGCCCAGGCUGGUCUUGAACUCCUGAGCUCCUGUGAUCUGCCUGCCUCAGCCUCCCACAGUGCUGGGAUUACAGGCAUGAGCCACCAUGCCUGGCCAAAACAUUUUUAAAAAAAUGAUUUCCUUUCCUUUCCUGUAUCCACACCCUUAUGAAAUCCCCUCUCAUGUGGACUUUGAGCUUGGCCAUAUGACAUACUUUGGCCAGUGAGACUACUGCAAACAUGAUGGAAGCGGAUACUUAAAAAGUACUUGCACACUGGGACUUGCCUUCUCUUGCUACUCUUAAGCCCUUUCUGACUACCAUGUGAAGAGGCCUGGUGCAUAUACUAAGUGAGAAGAUACAUGUGACCUAGGCACCUUUGUCAUCAAGCCAACAGCUAACACUGGGAGGUAGCACCAAUCACUAAGCAGCACAAGCCACCAGACAUUUAGAUGAGGCCACCUGAGAUCAUCCAGGCAGCAGCUGACCCGGCAGAAACCACAGGUAUGUGAAAGAGGCCAGCAGAGGGAAGACAAGCUGGGCCAGAACAGAAGAAUUGUCCAGCUGAACAACAGAAUUGUGAACUAAAUUAAAUUUUGGGGGGAUGGUUGGCUGUGUGGCAAAGGUUAAUUAAUGUGGGAAGGGAUAGGUAAACUAGAAACCAAAGUUGAGAAUAAGGUUGAAUAAACGAAAGUUUAGUUGCAAGGGAGUGGUGACAAAGAAGAGCCCUUAAAGGCAAAAUCAUAGACAACGUUUUUUGGAGAGAUCAUUUGCACAAGUACAGUAGAGGCCCCUCCUUCCUCCUCCACCUUCAUGCCCUGACUCUGUGGACGUUCAGUGUCACAAGAAAUGCUCCAAUAAUCCCUUUCAUGGAAUGAUAUAAUGUCAUAAGAAGGAGCAUAAAAAUUCCCUGUUCUGAUUUUCCUAUUUAAUGGGAAGCUCAAAAAGACAAAAUGGCUUGCCCAUUUCAUCCUGAAAGUUUAGCUUAUACAGUGAUAUGCCACAUAAUGAUAUUUUUGGGUCUACAAUGGACCUCAUAUAUGACAGGUGGUCCCAUAAGAUUGUAAUGGAGCUGAAAAAUUCCUAUUGCCUUGUGACCUCGUAGCCAUCAUAAUGUUGUAGCACAAUGCAUUACAUUUGUGGUGAUGCUGAUAGAAACAAACCAACUGUGCUGCCAGGUGUAUCAAAGUAUAGAACAUGCAAUUAUGUACAGUAUAUAAUACUUGACAAUGAUAAUAAAUGACUAUGUUGCUGGUUUGUGUAUUUACUUUUUAUCAUUAUUUUAGAGUGUUCUCCUUCUACUUAUUAAAAAAAAAUAACUGGAAAACAGCCUUAGGCAGGUCCUUCAGGAGUAUUCCAGAAGAAAGCAUUGUUAUCAUAAGAGAUGACAGCUCCAUGCCUGUUAUUGCCCCUGAAGACCUUCCCGUGGAACAAGAUCUGGAGGUGGAAGACAGUGAUAUUGAUGAUCCUUAUUCUGUGUAGGCCUAGGCUAAUGUAUAUAUUUAUGUCUUAGUUUUUAACAAAAAAAGCUUAAAAAGUGAAAGAAUGAGAAAAUUUAGAAGUAGAAAAAAGCUUAUAGAAUAAGGAUAUAAAGAAAGAAAAUAUUUUUGUACAGCUGUACAAUGUGUUGUUUGUGUUUUAAGGUGGGUGUUAUUACAAAAGAGUCAAAAAGAAAAAAUUAAAAAUUUUAUAAAAAAUUACAGUAAGCUAAUGUUAAUUUAUUAUUGAAGAAAGAAAAAUAUUCUUUUAUAAGUUUAGUGUAGCCUAAGUGUACAGUGUUUAUAUAUAAAAUCUACAGUAGUGUAGAGCAAUGUCCUAGGCCUUCACAUUUACUCGCCACUUACUCACUGAUGCCUACAGCAAUUUCCAGUUCUGCAAGUUCUAUUCAUGAUAAGUGCCCUAACUGUACAGGUGUAGCAUUUAACAAUUUUUUAUAUAUUUGCACUGUUCCUUUUCUAUGUUUAGAUGUGUUUAGAUAGACAGAUCUUUAUCAUUGUGUUACAAUUGCCUGCAGAAUUCAAUAUAGUAACAUGCUGUACAGGCUUGUAGCCUAGGAGUGAUAGGCUAUACCAUAUAGCCUAGGUGUCUAGCAGGCUAUACCAUCCAGGUUUGUGUAAGUACACUCUUAUAUUGUUCACACAAUUACAAAAUUACCUAAUGAUGCAUUUCUUAGAACAUAUGCCUGUCAUUAAGUGAUGCAUGACUUUAUUUGCUUUAUUUGUAAUGAAAUGAAUAUGUUUCCUGGCUUUUUUUUUUUUUUUUUUUUUGAGAACACUCAACACCUAUCUUGCAGGAGAAUAUUGUGUUUGUUUUUCUUUUCAUUCCUAUGUCUCCUGUUAUAGUCUCAGGAUGGGUGAAGUUUUAGUGAGAAGCUCAGUGGCAAGGAGACAAUAUGACUCUUCCAUGGUCAGUAUACCCACAGAAACACUUUUUCCUCAAUCUCAGGAGAAAAAUGAGCCAAAUAUGGAGGAUCCCAUCAGCUGCAGCAAAGCUACUGGCCAUGAAGGGAAGUGAGAGAAGCAAAGAGAAGAGUGAAGCAGAAUGGGAAGGAAAAUGAUGAUUCUAUGGGCACCAAUCAUGUGAUUUUUUUUUUUUCUCUUUGAAAGAUAACCUUCGGCUUAUUAAUUUUAUCAUCUCUUUUCCAAUAUUGAACCCUCAGCCUCUAAGGAUCAGCCGGGUGUAGACUCAGCAUGAUGGCCUGGCCUGCUAUCUAGCAGGGUCCCCUCAAGGCUAUGGUGGAAGGACUCGCUCAGGGCCUAGGAAGCUCUGUUGCAGUUUCCAUUCUUACAUUCCACCUUCUCUUAUGACCUACUCUCCAGCUAUACUGGAUAUGCUAGUCUUUUUCACACUUUGUGCUUUUGCUGUAUUGUUUCCCUCAUCCUAGAGUAUGCUUUUCCUGUUUGUCUGCCUGGUGAGAUAUUAUGAUCUUCAAAUGUGCCUCAUGGAAGCCUUCUCUGAUUCUUCCAGGCUGAGUUAUUUAUUUAUUUCUCCUACAGUUUCUGAACUGUGACUCACUAGUUCUACUUGGUAUGGCAACAUGAUCAUCUGGCGUUGCUAGAGAGUCUCACCUUUAAAGAGUCAUAUUAAGUUUAUUUACAGGACCUAGUGUUGGAUUACCUGAUCACGUAGCAAUUACAACUUCUUUUAUAAUUUACGCCCAAACCUUUAGGUGAGUCUUCUUGAGGCUUUACCAAGGAAACAGGCAGUUUUAGAGUUGGCCUUAAGGAUGUUCUCUGGUGUCAUCAAAGAAAUGGAAAUGCAAAGCAGAGACAUGUGCAUUUAGAUAUGUGUAAGACUGUAGACUAUUUUUAGUGGAAAAUGGCUGCUGAGUGUGUGGAAAGAGUAUAAAAGAUUUCAGUGGGAAGAUUCUACAAUCAUUUGAGAUUCUCCAUUGCUGGAAAAUUCUCAAAUUAGGCUUAUGAAGGCAAUUUGAUUUAGCAAACAGCUCUCUGGACCAAGCAAAUCUUCUCAGCAGGGAUGGAAUUUGAACUGCACUUGUCCCUGGUUCUCACCUUCCCUGAGAAGCAGUGCAUCUGCAGUGUCCCAGGUGAUGCCCCCCACAGGCCUUGAAGCUUGUCUUCCAGAAGAGCCUUCAUUUCAGGGGCAGCAUUCCAGGAAGCACGCCCAUGAAACACUCAUGAGGAGGAACUGGGCUGCCAAUUAUGACUUGUCACUGCUCCAUCAACAUAAAAGCUCGGCAGCACUCAGAUGGCUCUUGAAAAUCUUUGAGAUAUAAUCUGAAAGGAGGUCCCAGUUUCUGCCCCGGGCUGUUUGCAUCAUCAACCUGCAAAAUUCCAAUCUUGGAACUUGCUGAGAUUUUCAUUCUGAGACUCUCUGCCCUGGGCCUUGAGGAUAGCCAGAAGAAUACUAUAUUUCUUCUGCCUCUCUUUCUCUUUCUAUCUAAAGAGGUCAGGAUUAUAUAUCCACUUUGCUGAAUAUAGAAUCAAACCCAAUUGCCAUCAGCAAGUGCUGUAUAUCACCUACCACACCUGGGACCAGGCAUCAACAAGACCUUGACAGGGCCAGAAGCCUCAAGCCCUCAUUGCCAAGCCCAUUAAAAUCAGGAACUCAAUCUCAUUAAGGAAGGAGUGCAAUGGAUAUAGCCAGACAGGAGGAUUUCCACUUCAGUAUUAUCCUGAAUAGUGAACAACCAUCUCUGCUUUUCUCAGGGAGAAAGAUGUGGUAACAGUCACAAUGAUAGUAGACGAUGGUGACUGUUUAAUUUGUCAUGGCUAACAUAUAUGGUUAGCAAAUUGAGUUUCCUUUUAGGUAUAGUCUGAAUUGAACUGAAGUUCAUUAUAAUUCCCCUAAGUUGAUCUGUGAGGGCAUUUUAGCCUUCUUGGUAAAAUUAAAUAAUAUCAGUCAAAAAGGCUGUUAAACCAAUUCUUACACUUGAAAGCUUCCAGUUAUUCUAAUAAUUUGGAAUCUGUGUCUCCCCCUCUGUGGCAAUGAGGCUGUUGCUUGCUUUUCCCAAGAGACUGUAUUGCAUCUUUCUUGUUUUCUGAGAUGAGAAACAACCUCAAGGUCAUGCCCAGUGAUAUGGUUUGGCUCUGUGCCCCCACCCAAAUCUCAUCCCGAAUUGUAAUCCCCACAUGUCGGAGGAGGGGCUUGGUGGGAGGUGACUGGAUUAUGGGGGUGUAUUUACCCCUUGUUUUCAUGAUAGUGAGUUCUCAUGAGAUUUGAUGGUUUAAAACUGUGUGGCACCGCCCCCUGCAAGCUCCCUCUCUCUCCUGCCACCAAGUAAGACGUGCCUUGCUUCUUCUUUGCCUUCUGCCAUGAUUGUAAGUUUUCUGAGGCUUCCCCAGCCAUGCAGAACUGUGUGUCAAUUAAACCUUUUUUCUUUAUAAAUUACUCAGUCUCAGGUAUGUCUUUAUAGCACUGUGAAAACGGACUAAUACACUCAGCCUGUUCUGCAGAAUUGAGGAGCAUGGUCUUGGUCUUUGUUCUGUUUAAACAGCUAUCUAUCAUAAUGCUUAAGGAAAAAUAUCAAUGUAUACUACUUUUCACGAUGUUUCUUUUUUAUGAUUUUUAAAACAACUCAUGCUCAUUGUGGAAAGUGUGAAAAUAUAGACAACUUUUUUUUCUUUUUUUUUUGAGACGGAGUCUUGGUCUGUUGCCUAGGCUGCAGUGCAGUGGCACGAUCUUGGCUCACUGCAAUCUCUGUCUCCUGGGUUCA
RNAcentral lists this long non-coding RNA (7832 nucleotides) under Homo sapiens (human). Its description in RNAcentral is "non-protein coding HDAC2-AS2:71". Lineage: Eukaryota; Metazoa; Chordata; Mammalia; Primates; Hominidae. The record is from RNAcentral.